Molecule: ribosomal RNA, 253 nt
Filed under: uncultured bacterium
Lineage: Bacteria
Description: partial 16S ribosomal RNA
Rfam family: Bacterial small subunit ribosomal RNA
Source: RNAcentral
UACGUAGGGUGCAAGCGUUGUCCGGAAUUAUUGGGCGUAAAGAGCUCGUAGGCGGUCUGUCGCGUCGGCUGUGAAAACCCGGGGCUCAACCCCGGGCCUGCAGUCGAUACGGGCAGACUAGAGUGCGGUAGGGGAGACUGGAAUUUCUGGUGUAGCGGUGAAAUGCGCAGAUAUCAGGAGGAACACCGGUGGCGAAGGCGGGUCUCUGGGCCGAUACUGACGCUGAGGAGCGAAAGCGUGGGGAGCGAACAGG